AUCCAGAUGACGAGUCCCAAAUAGGAAAAAAUGUGCAUCCUGGAU
RNAcentral lists this non-coding RNA (45 nucleotides) under Trichobilharzia regenti. Lineage: Eukaryota; Metazoa; Platyhelminthes; Trematoda; Strigeidida; Schistosomatidae. The record is from RNAcentral.